Molecule: ribosomal RNA, 740 nt
Filed under: uncultured bacterium
Lineage: Bacteria
Description: bacterial SSU rRNA
Rfam family: Bacterial small subunit ribosomal RNA
Source: RNAcentral
AGAGUUUGAUCAUGGCUCAGAACGAACGCUGGCGCAUGCCUAACACAUGCAAGUCGAACGAGACCUUCGGGUCUAGUGGCGCACGGGUGCGUAACGCGUGGAACCUGCCCUUAGGUUCGGAAUAACUCCUCGAAAGGGGUGCUAAUACCGGAUAAUGUCUUCGGACCAAAGAUUUAUCGCCUUUGGAUGGGCCCGCGUUGGAUUAGCUAGUUGGUGGGGUAAAGGCCUACCAAGGCGACGAUCCAUAGCUGGUCUUAGAGGAUGAUCAGCCACACUGGGACUGAGACACGGCCCAGACUCCUACGGGAGGCAGCAGUGGGGAAUAUUGGACAAUGGGCGAAAGCCUGAUCCAGCAAUGCCGCGUGAGUGAUGAAGGCCUUAGGGUUGUAAAGCUCUUUUACCCGGGAUGAUAAUGACAGUACCGGGAGAAUAAGCCCCGGCUAACUCCGUGCCAGCAGCCGCGGUAAUACGGAGGGGGCUAGCGUUGUUCGGAAAUACUGGGCGUAAAGCGAACGUAGGCGGCUUAGCAAGUCAGGGGUGAAAUCCCAGAGCUCAACUCUGGAACUGCCUUUGAAACUGCUUCGCUUGAAUCCUGGAGAGGCGAGUGGAAUUCCGAGUGUAGAGGUGAAAUUCGUAGAUAUUCGGAAGAACACCAGUGGCGAAGGCGACUCGCUGGACAGGUAUUGACGCUGAGGUUCGAAAGCGUGGGGAGCAAACAGGAUUAGAUACCCUAGUAGUCC